Pseudomonas sp. Lz4W is the source of this 87-nucleotide non-coding RNA. NCBI's taxonomy places the organism in Bacteria, Pseudomonadati, Pseudomonadota, Gammaproteobacteria, Pseudomonadales, Pseudomonadaceae. The record is from Rfam.
ACGUGAGUCGGGCUUGGUCUUUACUGGGGUCCGGCGGGUUUGGUGAGGCUCGGGAGGGUUUUGCCGAACGUCCUUGAGAGUGCAAAG